This 250-nucleotide ribosomal RNA is filed under the name uncultured bacterium. Its description in RNAcentral is "partial 16S ribosomal RNA". It matches the Rfam family "Bacterial small subunit ribosomal RNA", at positions 524 to 773 of the family's 1533-position model. The record is from RNAcentral.
UACGUAGGAUGCGAGCGUUGUUCGGAAUUAUUGGGCGUAAAGAGCGAGUAGGCGGUAAAUCAAGUCUUAUGUGAAAUCUCCCGGCUUAACUGGGAGCGGUCAUGAGAAACUGAUUUGCUUGAGGAUACCAGAGGUAAGUGGAAUUCCCGGAGUAGCGGUGAAAUGCGUAGAUACCGGGGGGAACACCAGAGGCGAAGGCGACUUACUGGGGUAUUCCUGACGCUGAGGCGCGAAAGCAUGGGUAGCAAAC